Molecule: non-coding RNA, 73 nt
Organism: Potamilus streckersoni
Lineage: Eukaryota; Metazoa; Mollusca; Bivalvia; Unionida; Unionidae
Source: the annotation of a GenBank genome assembly
CGCUCAGAUGGCCUAGUGGUUCGAGUGUCCGCCUCAGAUGUGGGAGGUUGUGGGUUCGAUCCCAGUUGAGUCA